Molecule: ribosomal RNA, 363 nt
Filed under: Triticum aestivum (bread wheat)
Lineage: Eukaryota; Viridiplantae; Streptophyta; Magnoliopsida; Poales; Poaceae
Description: partial small subunit ribosomal RNA
Source: RNAcentral
AUGGUCCGGGUAUGGUUCUUCGCGUAUCGUUCUUGCCGAUCCAAAACAAGUGAGACCAAAAGGCUCUCUGGCCGGAACCAGAGAAAAGCUUGGUUUGCGCAGAGACUUGCGGCUGGGCCAGACUGGACGAGGGUGUCACAAGGGAACAAGAGAGGAGGCGCGACCAAAGACCACUCGGGGUCGGGCAGGAGGCAGCAAGCGCGGCGCACAGGCCAGGCGCGGCGGCAACUUGCUGACAAGGCGACGAGGCAGAUGAAGGCGAGGUGGUGGAGGCCAGGUCUGAUGGGGGGAGAUGCGAGGGGACCGGAUUCACCCGUUAUUCCGUCGGACCUUGGGCAGAACGGCGUCAGCAGAAGGGGAUGA